Molecule: long non-coding RNA, 1494 nt
Organism: Nicotiana attenuata
Lineage: Eukaryota; Viridiplantae; Streptophyta; Magnoliopsida; Solanales; Solanaceae
Exons: 3
Source: RefSeq, a predicted model, not a curated record
AAAUCUCCUUCCUUCCACAUAAUCUCUGCAAAUUCGUCAGCAAAUUUUCGGGUACUAAUAGAACAACGAGAAACAAAUUUAUUCUAUACUCGAUAAGUACCAAUAAUACGAGCUGAAGAUGGUGCAAGAAAUGUGGAAUGGGCCUCCUGGUUUCAGACCAACAAAAUCGGCGCCAUCUUCACCGGCUAAACCUCUUGGAAUUUCAAAGAUUCGUUCGGAAUCCUUUCAUAUUAUUCCCAAAGUACCUGUUGGUGACACCCCUUAUGUCAGAGCCAAAAAUGUCCAAAGAUGUGGGAGAUUGGGUGAUCAAACAACAUUGUUGAGGCACAAGUUGUACUUGAUUCAACAAGGCAUGGCUUUCUGUGGAGCAAGAAGCAACUAGAUUAUUGGGAAAUUUAGGGUGGGCAUUGAUGCAACAAAACAACUACAUUGAAGCUGAGGAUGCUUAUAGGAGAGCACUAGUGAUUGCACCAGACAAUAACAAGAUGUGCAAUUUAGGCAUAUGUUUGAUGAAACAAGGAAGAGUUAAUGAGGCAAAAGAUACACUUAGGAGGGUGAAACCAGCAGUGGCAGACGGGCCGAGAGGCGUGGAUUCGCACCUCAAGGCCUACGAGAGAGCACAACAUAUGCUCCGCGACCUCGAGUCAGUGCUAUUGAAUAAUAAAGGUGGCACUAUGCUUGAACAAAGCAAGCUUUUUGAUGCAUUCUUGGGCUCUUCUCUCAGCCUUGCAAAGAACAUAACACAUUUACAAACACCAACUCAUCCAAAUAUGCUGAUGAGAACAUGAAUUCUAACAUUAUACCAAACCACAAAGAGUAUGCAACCAACAGUUUCACGCGAAAACUUAUUAAACACGCGUGUUCCACCAUUUUAUACAUCCAAGAUUGUAAAUGAGCCGGCGAGUACUGUGUUGCCAGAAAAUCUUAAGAGAACAAGGUCAGGAAAUGCAGCUCACCCCAUGAGAAUGACUAAAGAGUCCAAAGGGACAGUCAUAGAACAAGAAAAUAUGACGCGAAAGAAAGCAGCCAAUUUCGAAGGAGAAAAUAGAGGAUAGAUGGGCAGUGUUGUUGCCAGAUAGCAAGGAUUUUGAGCAAGCGAUAAUUGCUGCUGCUUUGAGUUCAAGUGAUGAAAUAUUGAAGCCAGAAGGAGGAGGAAGCAAAGAUACUGGAAUUCUUCCAAGGAAAAUUGACAAAAGAUUGAAAGUUUUCCGAGAUAUUACCUUAUCUUUGAGUCCAAGAGCCUAACACUAUUGACUUUUUAACUUCUUUUAAUCUAAUUUUCAACUGUUAAGUUAUCAUAAUUCAUUCUUAGGUUGGAGAUAAACUUCUUCUCCUUUACUCCUGCAUAUCCUCAAGUAGGAGAAUAGUAUGCAGAUUGCAAGAGAUUUUUCAAAUAAAUAUUUUCUGUUCUCUUUUAGGUUUCUGUUUUACUGAGGAUAGUGUCUUGGGCUUUCCAAGCAAGAAAUACAGAAUGUUAACAAUUAAUAUGAAGCA